AAUGAAUGCUUGUUGAAUGUUCUUGGUCUUAGAUCGUGUUAUAGGUCUAGUUGGAACAUUUUGAACAUCGUGAUCCUUAUCAAGAUGCUUGCACGGUGCAGAGUUUGGAUUGGUCUCGGGCUGUUCCUACAGUGCGCAGGUUGUGGCUGACGGUACUUGGCUCAAUUGGGUUGAAUAGUUGCAGUGGGCCGAGCGAUCGAUGCUGUAGGUGGGCUUCGGGGCUUGAUUCACGGCUAUUGGGCUUCACGUUGGUCGUGGGCCUAGAGUUGGGUUUGUCCUAGUUGCGUAUUUCGGCCGAACUAAAUGUUGAUCGUGGGUUGGCUCUCGUACUAGGUAACUCGAAUCUAACCCCAGUCAACCGAAAUUGGUUAUCUUCUCACCUGGCUCGCCUUCAAUUUUCUUCAACUUUCUCUCUAUUCCCGAAUCAUUUUUCGAUGAUUCUUUUCGUCGUCCUCCUCUUGUGACCUUCCGUUUGUUGUUUCCGUCACCCCCACAACAUUACAAAUCCUUGUAAUUACCUAUACACAUAGAUCCAUCGAUAUUUUUAAGCUUUCCAAAAAUUGGAUCUUGCCCGAGAUUGAGUCUGAGGGAAGGCUUUGUGCGUAUUCUUCUCCUCUGUGAUCUGUUUUCUCUCCAGAUGACAGGGGUAUGGAGUCCUUGGAAGUGUUGAGGAGCGUUGAGGAAGCUUGGCCUCGUGGAUUUCUCUUUCAAGAAAGACUUUUUAGAAGAUUCUCCGAUGAUCCUUGCUUUGUGUUUAAGACUUUUUAAGAAGAUUAAACCAGACGAUAUUCAACUAUUGUAAGAGGUAGAACAAGUAGAUUCAAGACCGCCAAAAAAUUCUCCAUAUAUCUUUCAAAUUAGCUUGCAAGGAGGUAGAAACCUUAGCUUGCAAGACUAUUUGAAGUAUUUCAAGCUUGUAAGACUCCUUGAAGUAUUUCAAUGUAGAAGUUCUUCCACAUUCCACAAAAUCUUUGUUGCUAUGACUCAAUUACAAGGCUAAGACUUAUGGGAGCCUUUUGAAAGAAAACUCAACCUUAUCAAUAAUGUUACUCGGAUAAGGCACCCAACCUUAUCAAUAUACCGUCUAAGCUAUUAUUUGAACACGAUCUAUUUGUAUGUCAACCACAUAUUGCUCAAGAUUAUAUUAAUAACUUUGGA
Cucurbita maxima (winter squash) is the source of this 1158-nucleotide long non-coding RNA. RefSeq lists it as uncharacterized. NCBI's taxonomy places the organism in Eukaryota, Viridiplantae, Streptophyta, Magnoliopsida, Cucurbitales, Cucurbitaceae. The transcript has 3 exons. The record is from RefSeq and is a predicted model, not a curated record.